UUUCCUUGACUUGAUUAAAGAACCCCUAGGAGAUAACCCAUACCGGCUAGCAAAGUGAGUCACUUUCUUAGAAAAUUUCUCUUGAUCUCCAAGAUCAAAUACAUUAGUCAUAAUUUUAUCCAUCUUCUCCAAAUGACACAAGUUGUAUUCAUCUGUAUCAUCCUCAAAGUGUAUUACUCUAUACUCAAUAUCAAGGUCUUGGAGAAACCUCUGGGGAUCCAUCUCAUUGGCAUUAGAUUGAUCCAGCACCUGUUCUGAGAUAGAGGAAGCCUCAUGUAACAAAGCAUAAGAAUUACCUUUAAUUUCCAUUCCCUUACCAGGCAACUGAUCUUGCAGCUGGUAAAAAAAUCAUAGUCUUAGGGUCUGAUACUAUUGCAGGGCACACACCCUCAUCAGGAAAAGCACUGUCUUCAGAUCUAUCCAGCUGGUUCUCCUUAUUAGGAUCAGGUAAUAAAUUUUUGGCACUGUCUUCUGCUAUUGCUUGGUCAUCUUGCCUUCUAUUAUAAAAUUCCUCUAGUUGCUGUGGUAAUGAUAUGAACCCAUCCUCAUUAUUGCCUGGACAACCAGUUGAGGUCUCAAUGUCUUUUUGAAGAGCUAUAAAUGCAUUGGAUGUGGAUGGAGCAGACUUAUCUUAAUAAUCCCCUGAAUACUUAUUUGGAGACCUUCGCUUAAACACCAUUCUUUGGUUAUCCUUACCCCUCAUUUUUUAGUUCUGCCACUCAUUGAUAGGUGUCUUUCCUUUCUCUGAAUUUUGCUGCUACAUUGUAUCAGGUGGCUUCUACAUCUUUUGACCUGUUUGAGAUUCAUCUACCUCUUUACCAUUUCCCUGAUACUCCUCCACCAGUUUUUGCCUGGCCACCUCAUCUUUGCCUUUGACAACACAAGUUCUAGCAUCAUGCCCUUGAUGUUUG
This 911-nucleotide long non-coding RNA is filed under the name Capsicum annuum. RNAcentral describes it as "long non-coding RNA (CANN_LNC016032)". Lineage: Eukaryota; Viridiplantae; Streptophyta; Magnoliopsida; Solanales; Solanaceae. The record is from RNAcentral.